GCGGGGGUGGCCGAGUCUGGUCAAAGGUCCAAACGGCCGACCAAAGGUGCCAGCUUGAGGGGCUGGUCCCGUAGGGGUUCGCGGGUUCAAAUCCCGUCCCCCGCACCA
This 108-nucleotide transfer RNA is filed under the name Hadesarchaea archaeon B3_Hades. RNAcentral describes it as "tRNA-Leu". It matches the Rfam family "tRNA". From Rfam's summary of the family: Transfer RNA (tRNA) molecules are approximately 80 nucleotides in length. The record is from RNAcentral. Lineage: Archaea; Methanobacteriati; Hadarchaeota (SeqCode); Hadarchaeia (SeqCode).